AACUGAUUUAACAUUGACACGAGUGGCCAAUUGGUGAGUAACCGUGGGUAACCUGCCCUUGAAGUAGGGGAUAACACUUGGAAACAGGUGCUAAUACCGUAUAACAACCAAAACCACCUGGUUUUGGUUUAAAAGAUGGCUUCGGCUAUCACUUUAGGAUGGACCCGCGGCGUAUUAGCUUGUUGGUAAGGUAACGGCCUACCAAGGCAAUGAUACGUAGCCGACCUGAGAGGGUAAUCGGCCACAUUGGGACUGAGACACGGCCCAAACUCCUACGGGAGGCAGCAGUAGGGAAUCUUCCACAAUGGACGAAAGUCUGAUGGAGCAACGCCGCGUGAGUGAUGAAGGGUUUCGGCUUGUAAAACUCUGUUGUUGGAGAAGAACAGGUGUGAGAGUAACUGUUCACAUCUUGACGGUAUCCAACCAGAAAGCCACGGCUAACUACGUGCCAGCAGCCGCGGUAAUACGUAGGUGGCAAGCGUUGUCCGGAUUUAUUGGGCGUAAAGCGAGCGCAGGCGGUUUUUUAGGUCUGAUGUGAAAGCCUUCGGCUUAACCGGAGAAGUGCAUCGGAAACCAGGAGACUUGAGUGCAGAAGAGGACAGUGGAACUCCAUGUGUAGCGGUGAAAUGCGUAGAUAUAUGGAAGAACACCAGUGGCGAAGGCGGCUGUCUGGUCUGUAACUGACGCUGAGGCUCGAA
This 698-nucleotide ribosomal RNA is filed under the name Lentilactobacillus parabuchneri. RNAcentral's name for it is "bacterial SSU rRNA". It matches the Rfam family "Bacterial small subunit ribosomal RNA", at positions 65 to 757 of the family's 1533-position model. The record is from RNAcentral. Lineage: Bacteria; Bacillati; Bacillota; Bacilli; Lactobacillales; Lactobacillaceae.